Phyllopteryx taeniolatus (common seadragon) is the source of this 1030-nucleotide long non-coding RNA. RefSeq lists it as uncharacterized. Lineage: Eukaryota; Metazoa; Chordata; Actinopteri; Syngnathiformes; Syngnathidae. The transcript has 2 exons. The record is from RefSeq and is a predicted model, not a curated record.
CAGACACGCCCCUUUGGAACAGCGUGCCGACGGAGAGGCUUAGCUAGGAAGGUCAAAGUCGUCAGCACAUCCCAUAAGUGUCGAUGGCAAGAACAGUAAAAGACCAAGGAUACAAGCACAUUGUACUGCAUAAAGUUGCGUACAACGUUGUACAAUGACAACAAGGGGACUCAGAGUCCAUGCAUUGCCUCUGAUGGGAACGUCGACCUCCCCAGCAUGGCCGUUACGUAGGCACGUCGGUUAGCUGGGCUGCUCCAGCAUGUUGGCGGAUCUAAUCUUCAAAGCUAUGCUCGCUCCUCUGUAUACAUAUUAAGCUCCUCCCACAAGAGAUCCCCUCGAGUUGUCGACGAGAUCACCCGAGGCGCCGGGAAUGACAAAGGUUUGGAGUAAUGAUUGGACGUCGUUCCUCGAUGUCGUCAUUUCAUGCAGACGUCAAGAUGCAGAGGUACAGCAGAGAAUGGAAAAUGUGUUUGAGAACGUCACAGACUUUCAUUGUGUAAUAACCAUGAGUUAGUGUCAUUCAUUUCGGUUUUACUGCAAAUACUGCCCCAAAUAAAACUGAAUAAAAAAAUAAUAAAAUGAAAUGAAAGGAAUGAAAAAGCAAAAGAUGAACUAUUUUAUUUGUGAAAUCCUGCUCUACUUAUGAUCCUGCUGUUAUACUGUACGCCUAUUUUUAUACAUCACUGUUAUAAAGUGCUUUUUUUGUGAGUUUUCUUGAGUUUAACUGCGGUGGAACCUCCUCCGUCCUCGCCCCUUGCUCCUCGGUGUGGCUUUACUGUAAGACAAUUGAGAUUCCCGAUAAUAAGGUGAUGUCAGAACGACUUCCUGGUAAAAGCAUUGAGGAACAAGAAGGAUGGAAUUCUAAAUUCAAUUUAAAAAACAGUUCUUGGUCGUAGACAUCCAUUCCUUGUUAAUUCUUCCGUAUAUGUAUCAAGUGAACGGAAACAGUAUGCAUUUUUCUUACCUGUCCUGUCAUGUUUUAAAAUGUCAAUAACCAUAUAAUAAUAAAACUAUCCAUUGUGUUAGUGUG